CGUCAGCAGGGGCUGGGAAUACUGCAGAGAUAUGCACUGUUAUUUAAUAGCAAUCUUUCUGGUCAUUUGAAUGGUAACGACAUUCAGAGAAGGAGUCAGGUCCAGUCCACUCUACAAGCUACGUGUGUCGUGCAGGGUGAGCAAAGGCUUCUGAAGCGAGGUUAGCAGCGCGAGGGAGAGGGAUCCUUAUGGCUCAGAGUGGGAACAGCGUGGAGGACGGAAAGGCGAAGUGAAGUCAGGCCUAGUGACAGGUCCCCCCUACCUUCUGAGAUUUUCUGAAGCCUUGAUAGCAUCUGAGCAAGUUUCUGUUGCCGUUCAGCCAGCUCUCCACGGCCACUGAAAUCUACACGGAAGAGCGCCAUUAUGGAGUCAAUGAUCUGUAUGGACAAGGAAGAAGAGGAAGACACCAAACAACUGCUACUACAGGAGCUGUUCCCGGAGCAGCUUCACAACAUGCAGCAUUGUUUCUGGGCUUGGAAAACCAGCGUCAAUUGGUGGAAAAGGAUUGUUUGGCAGAUCUGGGAUGACCUGCAGUGGCAAGAGAAUUUCAGGAUGGGGAGGGCAACCUUUUUUGAAAUAUGUGCUGAACUAGCCCUGGAGCUGCAACUGCAGCUUACCAACAUGCAGCAUCCCAUAUUCAUGGAGAAGCAAAUCGCUACUGACACCUUGAAGCUGGUCACCCCCAAAUGUUACCAUCCAUAGCCAACCAAUUUGGUGUAGGGAGAUCUACUGUUGGGGCCAUUGUCAUGCAGGUACUGUGGACGCAAUUUGACGAUAUUGGCAUCUGGGAGCUAUCCCAGAAUACUCCCUUAUGACCACUCUAGACAACACUCUGAACUCCGAUGCACUAGCCCCAGGAACUUUUGAAUUUCCUGUUUGGUCACCAUCAGCACAGGUGACCAUCAGCACAGUCCACCAUCACAGGCAACCAUGCAGAGUCCACCAUCACAAGAGACCACGCAGUCCCGGAUUCACAGAUGAGCUCCAGUAUGGUCCGAACACCUCAUUGCAUGUUGGCGAGAUGAAUCUGUUAUGGCAGAACUACAUUCCAAAAAAAGAAACACAAAUACAUACGCUAAAGUCUACAGGGCCAUGAUGGAAAGAGGCUACUCAAGGGACACAGAGCAGUGUUGUACAAAAAUCAAGGAGCUCAGGCAAGAGUACCAAAAAGCCAGGGAGGCGAACGGGCGCUCUGGGUCACAGCCCCAUACAUGCCACUUCUACCGUGAGCUGCAUGCAAUUAUGGGAGGUGACGCCAACACUACCCUACCACUGUCCAUGGACACCUGCAAGGAGGGAGUAGCACGGAGCAAGGAGGAUGAGUUUUUGGAGGACAAAAAGGAGGAGGAGGAGGAGGAUAGUG
Long non-coding RNA from Dermochelys coriacea (leatherback sea turtle), 1363 nucleotides. RefSeq lists it as uncharacterized. The transcript has 4 exons. NCBI's taxonomy places the organism in Eukaryota, Metazoa, Chordata, Testudines, Dermochelyidae. The record is from RefSeq and is a predicted model, not a curated record.